RNAcentral lists this transfer RNA (63 nucleotides) under Euwallacea interjectus. Its description in RNAcentral is "tRNA-Thr". It matches the Rfam family "tRNA". Rfam says of the family: Transfer RNA (tRNA) molecules are approximately 80 nucleotides in length. The record is from RNAcentral. Lineage: Eukaryota; Metazoa; Arthropoda; Insecta; Coleoptera; Curculionidae.
GUUUUAAUAAUUUAAUAAAAAUAUUGGUCUUGUAAACCAAAAAUAAGGACUCCUUUUAAAACC